GCUUAGCACCUUUGAAUUUCAGGACACCUCUUUGUUAUGUGAUCCUAAUGUGGAGAAGAUUAUUUAUGCCUAUCAUUAAAGAAAAAAAAUCAAUCCAAUAGGUGCAACUGAAAUUCAGAAUGUCCAAAACCAUUAUUUUUAUGCCAUGCAACGUAGAUGUCUAUUAAAAAGCAAAAUUAUUAAGGCAUUCUCAGUAAAAAUACAGAGUUUUUAAAGUUUUUUAAAAAUAUAUUUUUCAAGAUGCUGAAAUUUGCCUGGAAGACUUUACCAAGAGCAUUUUUUGUCUGCUUAUUACUGUGUGCAGCAAAUAAUCAAGGAGAUAACAGUAUUGUAGAAUUUAACUUAAGAAAGAAUGUAAUUAGAUUCUUCUGGGCUUAUCUGAUACGGGAUUAUGUGUGUUUCUUCUAAGCUUUUUUUUCUCUUGGUAUAGAUAGCAGCCUCAAAUCACUGUUUCAGCUGCGAUUACAGGCGCAAAAACAAGAAGAAGAAACUCUUCCACACUGUCUGAUAUACUGCUGCUAAUGGCCGAUCUGCUCCUUGGUCCACAAGAGGAAUGGGAACAGCUUUGACCUCGUUUCCUAUUCACCUCCCUCGCUCCCACCCGUUUUUUCCCCAGCUUUGCCCAUGCAGACCGAGCGGGGCAAAGCACAGACAUGGGACCACGCAGGUGUAAAGAGAAAGCCUGGAAGACCUGCAAACCUCACUUCUCCUGAGGAAACAUCUGGAAGUCCUACCAGAAGUGCUCCACUUCUGAAAGCCACGUAGGAGAAACAGCAUUAAGUCUGAAGAGGACUUCGAAGCAUCAGAAAGGAAAUGGUCUUUUGAAAUGAACUGUGAUAUUCUGGCUGCUUUUGUGUUAGACAGAGUUGGAAUGACAUAUGAAAUGGCAGCUCACCAAUCUGAGUGCUCUGCUAGGCUGCGGGCUGUCGGAUGCUGUGCUGACUUGUGUCCUUUCCAUGCUGCAAUGUCGUGCCAAGAGGCCAGGGCCUUGUGGAGGGAGGCGCAUCCGGAGAAACAAACACAGCGCAUCUACAAUGUGAGCGGAACAAAAUUAGAAUUGUCUCUUUGGGGUUUUUUAAAGCUCUUCAUUAAAAUACCUGCAGAGGAAUUUUGCACUGGAAGUACACCCAUCUAUUUUCCUCUGUCUGCUGCGCGGAAGACAAGCAUUCUCAUAAUUGGGCCAUUAAAGGAGGUGUUGAAAUGUUACUAAUUGUCAAAGGCAAUUAAGUGUAGCAACAUGUCACAGGUAAAUUAAUGAGACUCCAGGUGUUCUGAACAAACUGCAUUUAUGUGAGUGUAAAAUGACUUCUAUUUUCUCUGCUACCUGUCUGCACAGUUUUGGUAUUCCUUUUUUUGGGGGGGGGGGGUGCUCCAUGAUAUACAACAUAUUGCACAGCCGCAGUUUCUCAAAUUUAGAGGUGCUGUUGACCCAUAACUACUAUAUUCUGUGCCUUUUGAAAAUCAGGCUGUGUAUGACUUUGCAGUUCACUGUUGGGACUUUUGUUUUAAUGGUGAAAACAUGUGCUGCCUUUUUGGCUCUCCAUGCCUAGCUGUCCAUGCAGGCUUGGGCUAUUAGAGUUCAAAUGCCUUUUCCAUGCUGUUCAACAGCCCCAUAGCAAGGCAGUGCAAGGAGGCACCUUCCUCCUAUUUUAUUUUAGAAGUCUGCAUUCAUACUUGUUAUGCUACUUCUGUCUUAUGCUAUGCAAGUUUUGCCAUGAUCUAGUCUUGAAUUACACUGAAAUAGAGUUAAAGCAACUUUUUUUUUUUGAAAUCACUGCAGUUGCUUUGGAUGUACACCAUAGUAGUUUGGCCAGAACGUGAUCAGUAUUUGUUUCUGAGCAUGUUAGGUAGCUGAUAUUCCUUGAUGUGAUGUAUUAUUCAUUCCUCAGCAUAAGGGACUGCUUUUGGAUGGUUGCUUUUAUCAAUAGCUAUCUGUCUUCAUCAAACAUGUUUGACUUGCAAAGCUAAGGAUUCAAAAGCAGCCAGGUUUUUUUUUAAAGGGUUUAUUAUACUGCAGAAUAGUUUUGCUCAUUUGGAAUUUGGUUGUCAUCUCUCUUCAAAGGAUUAGUUUUAGAGGGAAGAAACAACUCAUGAGAUGGAAACAAUAUUGUACAAUGUCAUUUACUAUAUAAAUACGAAGUCCUAUAUAAAGGCUCUUGAUAAUUCAUUAGUCAUCUGGAGUAUAGCAUAUUAAAAAUACUUUGAGCAUAAAUUUGUGUAUUACUUCAUGCUUGACAUGCUGCCCGUGCAUUCUUGCACCUUUUACUUCCUUAUUUAUAUUUACAGCAUAUUUAGGAAAUAUCUA
Long non-coding RNA from Dromaius novaehollandiae (emu), 2305 nucleotides. RefSeq lists it as uncharacterized. The record is from RefSeq and is a predicted model, not a curated record. Lineage: Eukaryota; Metazoa; Chordata; Aves; Casuariiformes; Dromaiidae. The transcript is spliced from 3 exons.